CGCGCAGGCUGUGCUGCAAGUCAGCUGUGAAAUGUCUGGGCUUAACCCGGGCAUGCGGUUGAGACUGCAGUGCUGGAGUGCUGUAGAGGCAAGUGGAAUUCCCAGUGUAGCGGUGAAAUGCGUAGAUAUUGGGAAGAACACCGGUGGCGAAGGCGACUUGCUGGGCAGCAACUGACGCUGAGGCGCGAAAGCCAGGGGAGCAAACG
This 206-nucleotide ribosomal RNA is filed under the name uncultured Aminivibrio sp. Its description in RNAcentral is "partial 16S ribosomal RNA". It matches the Rfam family "Bacterial small subunit ribosomal RNA", at positions 568 to 774 of the family's 1533-position model. The record is from RNAcentral. Lineage: Bacteria; Thermotogati; Synergistota; Synergistia; Synergistales; Aminobacteriaceae.